RNAcentral lists this ribosomal RNA (468 nucleotides) under uncultured bacterium. RNAcentral describes it as "partial 16S ribosomal RNA". It matches the Rfam family "Bacterial small subunit ribosomal RNA", at positions 28 to 507 of the family's 1533-position model. The record is from RNAcentral.
GACGAACGCUGGCGGCGUGCUUAACACAUGCAAGUCGAACGGAAAGGCCCUGCUUUUGUGGGAUGCUCGAGUGGCGAACGGGUGAGUAACACGUGAGUAACCUGCCCUUGACUUUGGGAUAACUUCUGGAAACUGGGGCUAAUACCGGAUAUGAGCUCCUGCUGCAUAGUGGGGGAUGGAAAGAUUCGGCGGUUGGGGAUGGACUCGCGGGUUAGCAGCUUGUUGGUGGGGUAGUGGCUUACCAAGGCUUUGACGGGUAGCCGGCCUGAGAGGGUGACCGGGCACAAUGGGACUGAGAUAGGGCCCAGACUCAUACGGGAGGCAGCAGUGGGAAAUAGUGCGAAAAGGGCGGAAGCCGGAUACAGCAACGCCGCGUGCGAGAUGACGGCCUUCGGGUUGUAAACCGCGUUCGCCUGUGACGAAGCGUGAGUGACGGUAAUGGGUAAAGAAGCACCGGCUAACUACGUG